GGGGCGCGGCUCCGGGAGAGCUGGAGGCGGAGGUUCAAGGCUGGCGGUGCUGGGUCUCUACUCCUCGCUGGGGGGGUUUGUUUGUUUGCUUUGCUUUUCCCUCCAGCUGGGUCCUUUGUUUUCUGCCGGCCUGUCCAGUGCUUCAGCCCUCUGGGAGCCCACACUGCUGAAGGCGGCAAGGUUGUGAAAGCGAGGAGGCGGGUGGGGUGUAGAAGAGAACAACCCGGUAUUUGGAACCCCAAGCACGUGGCACGCGUGGGAUGCUCCGUAAAAACUUGGAUUUCCAGACCCGCUAAUCGCUUACUUCUAUCCUGUGGCACUUCGAACUUAAUAUGGCCAAGACGGAAUUCAUCCAUUUUUCCAAACUCUGCACGGACUCCUCCUGUGCCCCCUGACUCAUAGGCACAGCGUUGUAAGCAGCAUGUCACAAGGUUGUGAGUUCGAGCCCUAUGUUGGGGGUGGAGAUUACUUCAAAAAAAUAAAAUCUUAAAUAAAAAGAAUAACCUCACAUGGCUCCACACCCAGCAUGGAACACAAUGCGGGGCCUGAACCCACGACCCUGAGAUCAAGACCUGAGCUGAGAUCAAGAGUCUGAUGCUUAAACAACACUUAACCAACUGAACUACCUAGGUUCCCCCUCCCACUUCUUGAAUAUAGACAUUCCUUAUACCACUGCCUUAAA
Long non-coding RNA from Mustela lutreola (European mink), 682 nucleotides. RefSeq lists it as uncharacterized. The transcript is spliced from 4 exons. The record is from RefSeq and is a predicted model, not a curated record. NCBI's taxonomy places the organism in Eukaryota, Metazoa, Chordata, Mammalia, Carnivora, Mustelidae.